Molecule: non-coding RNA, 53 nt
Filed under: Trypanosoma lewisi
Lineage: Eukaryota; Euglenozoa; Kinetoplastea; Trypanosomatida; Trypanosomatidae
Source: RNAcentral
AUUAAAACAAAAACAAACAGUGUAUGUGAUCUUGAAGAUGCUGCGUGAAUUUG